RNAcentral lists this ribosomal RNA (1492 nucleotides) under uncultured bacterium. RNAcentral describes it as "partial 16S ribosomal RNA". It matches the Rfam family "Bacterial small subunit ribosomal RNA". The record is from RNAcentral.
AGAGUUUGAUCCUGGCUCAGGAUGAACGCUAGCGACAGGCUUAACACAUGCAAGUCGAGGGGCAGCGGGGAGGUAGCAAUACUUCCGCCGGCGACCGGCGCACGGGUGAGUAACACGUAUGGAACCUGCCCGUAGCAGGGGGAUAAGCGGAAGAAAUUCCGUCUAAUACCGCGUAAUAACUCCGAGGGGCAUCCCUUGGGGUUUAAAGGGUAACACCGGCUACGGAUGGCCAUGCGGCGCAUUAGCUAGUUGGCGGGGCAACGGCCCACCAAGGCGACGAUGCGUAGGGGUUCUGAGAGGAAGGUCCCCCACACUGGUACUGAGACACGGACCAGACUCCUACGGGAGGCAGCAGUGAGGAAUAUUGGUCAAUGGGCGCGAGCCUGAACCAGCCAAGUCGCGUGAGGGAAGACGGUCCUAUGGAUUGUAAACCUCUUUUGUCGGGGAGCAAAAGACGCCACGCGUGGCGUUCCGAGAGUACCCGAAGAAAAAGCAUCGGCUAACUCCGUGCCAGCAGCCGCGGUAAUACGGAGGAUGCGAGCGUUAUCCGGAUUUAUUGGGUUUAAAGGGUGCGCAGGCGGAAGAUCAAGUCAGCGGUAAAAUUGAGGGGCUCAACCUCUUCGAGCCGUUGAAACUGGUUUUCUUGAGUGAGCGAGAAGUAUGCGGAAUGCGUGGUGUAGCGGUGAAAUGCAUAGAUAUCACGCAGAACUCCGAUUGCGAAGGCAGCAUACCGGCGCUCAACUGACGCUCAUGCACGAAAGUGUGGGUAUCGAACAGGAUUAGAUACCCUGGUAGUCCACACAGUAAACGAUGAAUACUAAUUGUUCGGGGAGAAUGAUCCCUGAGUGAUACAGCGAAAGCGUUAAGUAUUCCACCUGGGGAGUACGCCGGCAACGGUGAAACUCAAAGGAAUUGACGGGGGCCCGCACAAGCGGAGGAACAUGUGGUUUAAUUCGAUGAUACGCGAGGAACCUUACCCGGGCUCAAACGACACAGGAAUACUUUUGAAAGGAGGUAGCUCUUAGGAGUCUGUGUCGAGGUGCUGCAUGGUUGUCGUCAGCUCGUGCCGUGAGGUGUCGGCUUAAGUGCCAUAACGAGCGCAACCCCCAUCGCCAGUUACCAGCAAGUCAAGUUGGGGACUCUGGCGAGACUGCCGGCGCAAGCUGUGAGGAAGGCGGGGAUGACGUCAAAUCAGCACGGCCCUUACGUCCGGGGCGACACACGUGUUACAAUGGCAGGUACAGAGAGAAGCAAUGCGGCGACGCAAAGCGGAACUUGAAAGCCUGUCUCAGUUCGGAUUGGAGUCUGCAACUCGACUCCAUGAAGCUGGAUUCGCUAGUAAUCGCGCAUCAGCCAUGGCGCGGUGAAUACGUUCCCGGGCCUUGUACACACCGCCCGUCAAGCCAUGGAAGCCGGGAGUGCCUGAAGUGUGCAACCGCAAGGAGCGCCCUAAGGUAAAACUGGUGACUGGGGCUAAGUCGUAACAAGGUAA